Molecule: transfer RNA, 97 nt
Organism: Aureobasidium pullulans
Lineage: Eukaryota; Fungi; Ascomycota; Dothideomycetes; Dothideales; Saccotheciaceae
Rfam family: tRNA
About the family: Transfer RNA (tRNA) molecules are approximately 80 nucleotides in length. Their secondary structure includes four short double-helical elements and three loops (D, anti-codon, and T loops).
Source: Rfam
GGGGUUGUGGUCUAGUGGUAUGACAUCUUCUUAGCAUUGCUUCUUGUAAGCGGUUCUGAGUUGGAGAAGGUUCUGGGUUCGAUUCCCAGCUACUCCA